UCCUCCUGUGUGCGGCGCCGCCGCUGCGCACAGGCCACAUCUCCUCGCCCUCCUCGACAUCUCCGGCCAAGGCGCUCACUUCUCCGGCCCCCCUCCACAUCUCCUCGCCUCCACCCCAUCCACUUCCUGUCGAAGACUGCGGCAACGGAGCUCGGCGGCUGCGGCCCUUCUCCAAGACUGCAGCAUGGUGCUCGGCGGCUGCGGCAACGGAGCUGAUGGAGCGCGAGCCGACCAGUUCAACGGAGGCAGUAGCACGGGGCAGCGGCAGCAGCAUGGAGGGCGUCCGCUUGACUGGAAAGAGAAUGUAUUUGUUGAUAGUGAGAGUGAGGAUAAUGAUGGGGUGAGUGAGGAUGGGGAAGAUGCUCCAUCCAUGCAUGAUCAGCAAGAGGCGCAAAUGCAAGUGGAAAAAGAGACACAAAUUCAAGUGGAAAAGGACGCACCUCCAAGAGAUGGCAAUUUGGAGACCCGUAGAUCUGUACGGCUUGUCAAGAAGAAGACCAAGGGCGUCAACAGCCUAUACCCUGUUGCUUAGAAAUCUGUUGAAUAACUAAGGAUAUCAAGAAGCUUUUGGAUGUAGGCAAGCUUGGAGCUGCUGUUUCAAUGUCAUACUUUGAUAGUUGCCUUUUGGAGCUGUUGUUUCUAUGUGUAAUACUUUAAGUCUGUUGGCUGUACCGGACUAUUUAAACUCUGAACUAUGCUGUGAUGGUUGAACUGAUGUUGGACUGUUAAGGGUUAUGUUGGAGGCCACUUUAUAACUAAUGUGUGCCUGUUAUGUUGGACAGAUGCAGUUUUAUUAAUCCC
Molecule: ribosomal RNA, 801 nt
Filed under: Triticum aestivum (bread wheat)
Lineage: Eukaryota; Viridiplantae; Streptophyta; Magnoliopsida; Poales; Poaceae
Description: partial small subunit ribosomal RNA
Source: RNAcentral